GCACAGCAACGGGUGGAGCGUGCGGUUUAAUUGGAUUCAACGCCGGAAAACUCACCGGAAGCGACGGUUACAUGAAGGCCAGGCUGAUGACCUUGCCUGAUUUUCCGAGAGGUGGUGCAUGGCCGUCGUCAGUUCGUACCGUAGGGCGUUCUCUCAAGUGAGAUAACGAACGAGACCCUCAUCCCUAAUUGCCACCUCAUGGGUGACCAUGGGAGCACAUUGGGGAGACCGCUACUGCUAAAGUAGAGGAAGGGGAGGUCAACGGUAGGUCAGUAUGCCCCGAAUCCCCCGGGCAACACGCGCGCUACAAAGGAUGGGACAAUGGGCUUCAACACCGAAAGGUGAAGGCAAUCCCGAAACCCAUUCGUAGUUCGGAUUGAGGGCUGUAACCCGCCCUCAUGAAGCUGGAUUCCGUAGUAAUCGCGGGUCAACAUCCCGCGGUGAAUAUGCCCCUGCUCCUUGCACACACCGCCCGUCAAACCACCCGAGUUGGGUCCAAAUGAGGUUCUGCCCUUGUGGUAGGCUCGAAUUUGGGUUCAGCAAGGAGGGUU
Molecule: ribosomal RNA, 551 nt
Filed under: uncultured archaeon
Lineage: Archaea
Description: bacterial SSU rRNA
Rfam family: Archaeal small subunit ribosomal RNA
Source: RNAcentral